AGAGUUUGAUCCUGGCUCAGGAUGAACGCUGGCGGUAUGCCUAACACAUGCAAGUCGUACGAGAGUUUUUAACUCUAGUGGCGGACGGGUGAGUAACACGUAAGAAUUUACCUUCAGGAGGGGGAUAACAAUUGGAAACAAAUGCUAAUACCCCAUAUGCUUUCGAGUGAAAUGGAUUUAUAUUUAUCCNCCUAAAGAGAAGCUUGCGUCUGAUUAGCUUGUUGGUAAGGUAAAAGCUUACCAAGGCGACGAUCAGUAUCUGGUUUGAGAGGACGAUCAGACACACUGGAACUGAGACACGGUCCAGACUCCUACGGGAGGCAGCAGUGGGGAAUUUUCCGCAAUGGGCGAAAGCCUGACGGAGCAAUACCGCGUGAGGGAAGACUGCCUAUGGGUUGUAAACCUCUUUUUUCAGGGAGGAACAAAAUGACGUGUACCCCUGAAGAAU
This 448-nucleotide ribosomal RNA is filed under the name uncultured bacterium. Its description in RNAcentral is "bacterial SSU rRNA". It matches the Rfam family "Bacterial small subunit ribosomal RNA", at positions 8 to 487 of the family's 1533-position model. The record is from RNAcentral.